GUGUCAGCCGCCGCGGUAAGACGUAGGUGGCGAACGUUAUCCGGAAUUAUUGGGCGUAAAGGAUGCGUAGAUGGCGUAGUAAGUUAUCGGUGGCAAAUCGAGGCUCAACCUCGUGGAAGUCGGUAAUACUGCUAUGCUAGAGGAUAGGAGAGGUUAACGGAACUCCCUGUGGAGCGGUGAAAUGCGUAGAUAUAGGGAAGAACACCAAUCAGGCGAAGGCAGUUAACUAUUCUAUUCCUGACAUUGAGGCAUGAAAGCGUGGGGAGCAAAACGGAUUAGAUACCCUAGUAGUCC
This 294-nucleotide ribosomal RNA is filed under the name uncultured bacterium. RNAcentral describes it as "partial 16S ribosomal RNA". It matches the Rfam family "Bacterial small subunit ribosomal RNA", at positions 505 to 796 of the family's 1533-position model. The record is from RNAcentral.